This 253-nucleotide ribosomal RNA is filed under the name uncultured bacterium. RNAcentral describes it as "partial 16S ribosomal RNA". It matches the Rfam family "Bacterial small subunit ribosomal RNA", at positions 524 to 776 of the family's 1533-position model. The record is from RNAcentral.
UACGUAGGGGGCAAGCGUUGUCCGGAUUUAUUGGGCGUAAAGAGCGUGUAGGCGGCCAGGUAGGUCAGCUGUGAAAACUCGAGGCUCAACCUCGAGACGUCGGUUGAAACCACCUGGCUAGAGUCCGGAAGAGGAGAGUGGAAUUCCUGGUGUAGCGGUGAAAUGCGCAGAUAUCAGGAAGAACACCCGUGGCGAAGGCGGUUCUCUGGGACGGUACUGACGCUGAGACGCGAAAGCGUGGGGAGCGAACAGG